GCUAACAUCGGGCCAGCAGCCGGGGGAGUAGGGAGGAGGGAAUCGUGGUCUGGAGUUACGGGGCGGAAAGGGCGCGCAGGCGGGCGUUCAAGUCGCGUGGGAAAGCCCCCGGCUCAACUGGGGAGGGUCACGCGAUACUGAUCGACUCGAAGGCAGGAGAGGGUAGUGGAAUUCCCGGUGUAGUGGUGAAAUGCGUAGAUAUCGGGAGGAACACCAGUGGCGAAGGCGACUACCUGGCCUGUUCUUGACGCUGAGGCGCGAAAGCUAGGGGAGCAAACGGGAUUAGAUACCCCGGUAGUC
RNAcentral lists this ribosomal RNA (300 nucleotides) under uncultured Labilithrix sp. RNAcentral describes it as "bacterial SSU rRNA". It matches the Rfam family "Bacterial small subunit ribosomal RNA", at positions 496 to 795 of the family's 1533-position model. Lineage: Bacteria; Pseudomonadati; Myxococcota; Polyangiales; Labilitrichaceae. The record is from RNAcentral.